Molecule: ribosomal RNA, 497 nt
Filed under: uncultured bacterium
Lineage: Bacteria
Description: partial 16S ribosomal RNA
Rfam family: Bacterial small subunit ribosomal RNA
Source: RNAcentral
GAUGAACGCUGGCGGCGUGCCUAAUACAUGCAAGUCGAGCGAACGGACGAGAAGCUUGCUUCUCUGAUGUUAGCGGCGGACGGGUGAGUAACACGUGGAUAACCUACCUAUAAGACUGGGAUAACUUCGGGAAACCGUAGCUAAUACCGGAUAAUAUUUUGAACCGCAUGGUUCAAAAGUGAAAGACGGUCUUGCUGUCACUUAUAGAUGGAUCCGCGCUGCAUUAGCUAGUUGGCAAGGUAACGGCUUACCAAGGCAACGAUGCAUAGCCGACCUGAGAGGUGGGCGGCCCACAUGGGAGCUGGACCGCGUCCAAGCCUCCUGCGGGAGGCAGCAGUGGGGAUCCUUCGGCAAGGGGGGGAACCCUGACGGAACAGCGCGGCGUGGGUGGCAAAGGCUUCGGGAGCGGAAACCUUUUUUAUGGGGAAAAAACAUAUGUGGAAGGAUCUGUACACUUCUUGAGGGUAACUAAUAAAAAAGCCACGGCUAACUACGUG